This 900-nucleotide ribosomal RNA is filed under the name uncultured bacterium. Its description in RNAcentral is "bacterial SSU rRNA". It matches the Rfam family "Bacterial small subunit ribosomal RNA", at positions 80 to 977 of the family's 1533-position model. The record is from RNAcentral.
CUAGAUUGAUGGCGAGUGGCGAACGGGUGAGUAAUACAUCGGAACGUGCCCUGUAGUGGGGGAUAACUAGUCGAAAGAUUAGCUAAUACCGCAUACGACCUGAGGGUGAAAGUGGGGGACCGCAAGGCCUCAUGCUAUAGGAGCGGCCGAUGUCUGAUUAGCUAGUUGGUGGGGUAAAGGCCCACCAAGGCGACGAUCAGUAGCUGGUCUGAGAGGACGAUCAGCCACACUGGGACUGAGACACGGCCCAGACUCCUACGGGAGGCAGCAGUGGGGAAUUUUGGACAAUGGGCGAAAGCCUGAUCCAGCAAUGCCGCGUGUGUGAAGAAGGCCUUCGGGUUGUAAAGCACUUUUGUCCGGAAAGAAAUGGCUCUGGUUAAUACCUGGGGUCGAUGACGGUACCGGAAGAAUAAGGACCGGCUAACUACGUGCCAGCAGCCGCGGUAAUACGUAGGGUCCAAGCGUUAAUCGGAAUUACUGGGCGUAAAGCGUGCGCAGGCGGUUGUGCAAGACCGAUGUGAAAUCCCCGAGCUUAACUUGGGAAUUGCAUUGGUGACUGCACGGCUAGAGUGUGUCAGAGGGGGGUAGAAUUCCACGUGUAGCAGUGAAAUGCGUAGAGAUGUGGAGGAAUACCGAUGGCGAAGGCAGCCCCCUGGGAUAACACUGACGCUCAUGCACGAAAGCGUGGGGAGCAAACAGGAUUAGAUACCCUGGUAGUCCACGCCCUAAACGAUGUCAACUAGUUGUUGGGGAUUCAUUUCCUUAGUAACGUAGCUAACGCGUGAAGUUGACCGCCUGGGGAGUACGGUCGCAAGAUUAAAACUCAAAGGAAUUGACGGGGACCCGCACAAGCGGUGGAUGAUGUGGAUUAAUUCGAUGCAACGCGAAAAACCUUACCUA